AGUGAACGCUGGCGGUAGGCCUAACACAUGCAAGUCGAACGGCAGCACAGGAGAGCUUGCUCUCUGGGUGGCGAGUGGCGGACGGGUGAGGAAUACAUCGGAAUCUACUCCGUCGUGGGGGAUAACGUAGGGAAACUUACGCUAAUACCGCAUACGACCUACGGGUGAAAGCAGGGGACCUUCGGGCCUUGCGCGAUUGAAUGAGCCGAUGUCGGAUUAGCGAGUUGGCGGGGUAAAGGCCCACCAAGGCGACGAUCCGUAGCUGGUCUGAGAGGAUGAUCAGCCACACUGUAACGUGAACGCGGUCCAGACUCCUACGGGAGGCAGCAGUGGGGAAUAUUGGACAAUGGGCGCAAGCCUGAUCCAGCCAUACCGCGUGGGUGAAGAAGGCCUUCGGGUUGUAAAGCCCUUUUGUUGGGAAAGAAAUCCAGCUGGCUAAUACCCGGUUGGGAUGACGGUACCCAAAGAAUAAGCACCGGCUAACUUCGUGCCAGCAGCCGCCGUAA
Molecule: ribosomal RNA, 506 nt
Filed under: uncultured bacterium
Lineage: Bacteria
Description: partial 16S ribosomal RNA
Rfam family: Bacterial small subunit ribosomal RNA
Source: RNAcentral